Arachis ipaensis is the source of this 1235-nucleotide non-coding RNA. The record is from RefSeq and is a predicted model, not a curated record. NCBI's taxonomy places the organism in Eukaryota, Viridiplantae, Streptophyta, Magnoliopsida, Fabales, Fabaceae.
UAUUAAUGAGUUAAACUUUUUUUUUGUUGUCAAAAUUCUUGUAAUCAGAUAAUGCACAUUAUAUAGUUAUUUGUUAUUUUGGGAUUAGGCUGAGUUUUAUUUUUAUUCUUCUGUAGAUAGAAGGAAUUCUAAUGACAUUUGUGUUUUACCAUGGUGGCAAGUUUAAAAUCGAUAUAAGAGGAAGAAUGAUUUAUGAACCAAAUCACACGGAAGUGUUAAUGGGUAACCACACAUACACCUGUAGGUUCUAACAACUCACAGAAUGCCAUGCAUGCAUGCGAUUGCAGCCAUAUAAGAUAAGCAUGAUAAGAGGCCACAGGAGUAUUGUCAUGAAUGGCUAAAGAUGGAAUCAUAUAAAAGAACCUAUGCUUUCAAUGUCAACCCGGUCAAAGGACAAGAUCUUUGGGAGAAAACACCAUCCCCAGCCCCCGUUCCGCCCUCAAUUAAGCCUAAGCCAGGAAGGCCAACAACAAAGAGGAGAAAAGACAAGAAUGAGGGCCCUUCCGGCACAAGGUCAAAGAUGAAGCGAAAAUAUAAUCCCAUCAGGUGCAUGUUCUGCGGUGAAGGUGGUCAUAACAGGAGAAAUUGUCCAAAGAAGAAACAAAUAGACGUUGAGGAACAAGCAAGACACAUGCAGCUGCAACUUGCAGUUGUAACUACUGUUGUCCCUCCAUCUGAUGCUGACCCUGCUAUCCUAAUUACUCAAUCACCCGCAGCCCAGUAGAACACUCCAACUGAGCUUGUGCUUAGCCAGACGGAACCCUACCCAUCAACACAACACACGCAAAACUCAGAAAAGGAAACUGUUCCAAGGCCAUCAAAACUGAAAGUUGUUAAGGGAAGAGCUAGAGAAAAAUCCUCCCCCCAAGCUGUAGCAACAUCAACAGCUUCUUUUUCUGCUGAAACCAUUAGGGGAACUAGCUCUGCCACUGCCAAGAGACUUGCAGACUUUAUGACGCUUGUUCCUACUCCAGGAUUCAAACCUCCUAGGAAGAAGGAUAAACCUACUUGAUGCUAAUAUAUGAACAUUAUGUAAUUAGAGCUAGUGAUAUAUUUUUUGUAUAUGGCUCUCUUAUUGCCAUUAAAAACAUUGUGGUUGGUUUCAAUGUGAAUUCCCUUUUUUUGGUUUAGCUCUUUGAUUAAGUUAAUAUAGUUAGUUUUUUGGAUAUCGAUCAGACAAUUAUGAUCAAACAAUGUUGCUGUUUUAGUUCCAAUAUAUGGAAAUAUUUUGUUUA